This 280-nucleotide ribosomal RNA is filed under the name uncultured bacterium. Its description in RNAcentral is "partial 16S ribosomal RNA". It matches the Rfam family "Bacterial small subunit ribosomal RNA", at positions 334 to 615 of the family's 1533-position model. The record is from RNAcentral.
GACCUACGGGAGGCAGCAGUGGGGAAUAUUGCACAAUGGGCGCAAGCCUGAUGCAGCGACGCCGCGAGAGGGAUAGGGGCCUUCGGGUUGUAAACCGCUUUUGUUCAAGGGCAAGGCACGGUCUUUGGCCGUGUUGAGUGGAUUGUUCGAUUAAGCACCGGAUAACUACGAGCCAGCAGCCGCGGUAAUACGUAGGGGGCAAGCGUUAUCCGGAUUUAUUGGGCUUAAAGGGCUAGUAGGCGGUUCGUCGCGGCCGGUGUGAAAGUCCAUCGCUUAACGG